GCGUAGCUCACCUAGAGAGAGCGAGAGAUCUCGCACGCUCGCAGUCAAACCUGUGACAACCAUAGUGGCAACGCACUACUUUCCAUACAAAUAUGAAUAAUGAAGAUCUUAAGAAUAAUUGAUCUCUUUUCAAGUAACGUUAACAUGACAGAUGACUCUCAAACGAAAGAGCGUCUCUCAAACGGAGCGGAUUGGUUUCAUUGGCAAUGACGUCACACUGCUGUAACGGCAUUUAAUGAGCGGACUUUAUAUAAAAAGACGGAAAAUCGUUGUCUGUGUGAGAUGUGGUACAUUUACCGGAAAAGACAGUCAAAUUUUUAUAACAAUUUAAUGAGUUUCAUGAGUGAAAACGCCUGAUGUUUAUUUUAGCGGUUAACGUUAUUUCCCUCUGAAGAACGAACUGUUCCCUCAGACUAUUGUUAUUAUAAUUCAAAUUACCUAUCAUAAAAUUGUAUUACUUUUUCUUCAUAGGUUUAAAUGUCAUUUAUUUUUGUUGUCGGCCCAUACUUUUAAAAAGUAAUUUAACUAAAUCGGUUAAGUAAAGAGUAAUUCACCUCAGAAAAGCGCACUGCUGGGAUGUCACUCGAAGGGGAGUCAGGUGUGCGCGAGGUGCGCACAGACCCGGCUUAUAUAUGCCCCGCUGCCCGGUUCGCGGGCUUGGCACGCGACUAAGAAUUUAAAUAUUGAGAGAGUUUAUUUUCAUUUUUUUUUUUUUAUGUACAUUUAUAUAAUGAAACAUUGCAUUAACUUAGCAUUAAACGUCAAAAAAGAUGGGGUUUUCAAAUAGUGUGGUGUUUGUGUUUUCCUGCUAUUUUCAAAGCAAUGGUGUUAUCAAAAUAUAACAGUCACACAUUUUUUUUUUUUAAACUUCCUUCUUUUUCUCCCAGUUUGAGGGUCCCUCUUUGUUCAAUAUAAUUGAGCAACCCUAUAGGUGGCGAUGUACGCAUGCGAGUCGCCAAUAAGCCAAUAGAUGAAGAAGAGCUGAACGUGAUGGUUCAGAGAAUUCUGUCCUGAUGUUUGGCUGUGGUCCCUCCAUCAUCCAGACACUCUUCGGCAACUGGUCUUUGUAUGGAGGUCACCAUGAUGUAUACAGAUCUAGUUGUCUCUUCUCGCACAAACUCCAAUUUCGGGAGCUCCUACAAACUGGUGACCAUAUUGGUGAAUGAGAAUAGAGGGGAUUUGCUUGCAGAACAGAUGUUUACCUUCCUUCUGAGCCGAUUACAGAUUUGUCACUGCUGUCACUGGAAUGAUUGUCAUCUGACAAUAAUUUUGUGUAAUUUCUAUUCUUGGACCAUGAUUGUCCCUUGAACUUGAAUAUUUGUAUUCAUUUGUUCUGGUUUGUUUUCUGUUUUUCACCUCUGUCCUUUUAAUACAUAUUAAUUGAUAAUGUCAUCUGCUGUAGUAUGUAGUAUUACAUAUCACAAAUCAGUGAAUACUUUUCUUUCUUUUUUUCCAGUUUUGUGGUGUAAAGAACUAGAUGUGUUAUGGUAAAUUAAAUGUUAAUAAGAGGGUUUCUGUGGUUUGUGGUGUCUGUGUCUUAUGCACCAUUUCUGUAUAAAAUAGGUAAACAAUAGGUAAAAGUAAACUUAAUUUAAACAUUUUUGCAUAAAUACAAUGAACUUCGUUUAUACGUGAUAAGCCGAUACCUAUGCAUUUAAAAUUAGUCAAUAACUGAAUUUGGUUAUUGUUUCAAUCCAGUGUGCAAAUGUUUAAUCGGGUUGAAAAACCAUAGAUAGAAUUGUGAUCACUUGUAGAUAUAAUACAUAAGGACAGUUAUGCACUUGUUUUGUCUUAAUACUGCAUUUUACAAAUGGGAGAAAACCCUUUAUAUUCUUUGACCAAUAGUGUGUGGACACUUACCUUUGUUGAUCAUAAAUGACUUAAAAAUAGUACAGAUCAUAGGGAUUAAAUCUGAGCUUUUUUACAAAGCACUAGACAGCUGUUGCAGCCAAUUGGGUGUUGAAUAUGCUGAACGCUUUAGAUGUCUGAUACAUGAAGUCUACAAGUGUGUGUGCGUUUUUGUAUUUAUCUUAUCUUGCGCAAAGCAAAUUUAUGGUAUUAAUUUUUCAUUGUACAUUUAUGAAAUGUGCAGG
Molecule: long non-coding RNA, 2093 nt
Organism: Onychostoma macrolepis
Lineage: Eukaryota; Metazoa; Chordata; Actinopteri; Cypriniformes; Cyprinidae
Exons: 4
Source: RefSeq, a predicted model, not a curated record